This 502-nucleotide ribosomal RNA is filed under the name Nigrospora sphaerica. Its description in RNAcentral is "eukaryotic LSU rRNA". The stretch from base 143 to 296 matches the Rfam family "5.8S ribosomal RNA". The record is from RNAcentral. Lineage: Eukaryota; Fungi; Ascomycota; Sordariomycetes; Amphisphaeriales; Apiosporaceae.
CUCCCAAACCCAUGUGAACUUAUCUCUUUGUUGCCUCGGCGCAAGCUACCCGGGACCUCGCGCCCCGGGCGGCCCGCCGGCGGACAAACCAAAACUCUUGUUAUCUUAGUUGAUUAUCUGAGUGUCUUAUUUAAUAAGUCAAAACUUUCAACAACGGAUCUCUUGGUUCUGGCAUCGAUGAAGAACGCAGCGAAAUGCGAUAAGUAAUGUGAAUUGCAGAAUUCAGUGAAUCAUCGAAUCUUUGAACGCACAUUGCGCCCAUUAGUAUUCUAGUGGGCAUGCCUGUUCGAGCGUCAUUUCAACCCCUAAGCACAGCUUAUUGUUGGGAACCUACGGCUUCGUAGUUCCUCAAAGACAUUGGCGGAGUGGCAGUGGUCCUCUGAGCGUAGUAAUCUUUUAUCUCGCUUCUGUUAGGUGCUGCCCCCCCGGCCGUAAAACCCCCAAUUUUUUCUGGUUGACCUCGGAUCAGGUAGGAAUACCCGCUGAACUUAAGCAUAUCAAA